This is an RNA transcript of Oryzias melastigma (Indian medaka), 2255 nucleotides long. RefSeq lists it as uncharacterized. The record is from RefSeq and is a predicted model, not a curated record. NCBI's taxonomy places the organism in Eukaryota, Metazoa, Chordata, Actinopteri, Beloniformes, Adrianichthyidae. The transcript has 3 exons.
GCAAUGGCAAGCAUUUUUGCGUCGUCAACCACCUUCAGGUUUUUGCCCAUUAAAAGUAUGUUAUUAAUUUGUUUUUUGGUCAGUAUUAUCUGGAACUGGUUCUAUCUUUAUAAGAUUGCCUUUGCUGAGCACAAAAAUAAUUUAAUAAAGAUGGAAAACAUCUAUGAGAAAUGCAGUGGGCUGAAGAAAAUUACAUGGAUUGAUAGCCUGAAAGGUAAACUUACAACAUUUACUUCACCUUUUUUUUUUUACUAAGUAAUUCAGUAAUCAUAAGAAGGCUUUAGGGCUAGAUCAUGCUUAAAUUAUGAGCUAAAAUCAUUAUUUAGCUCAUUCCAGAUCUGCUGUAAUACCAGGAAAUUGUGUCACCACAAACAGCUUCAUCAAAACACAACAACAGUUGUACAAAGCAAGCUGAAAAUUGAUGAAAAAAUGCAAAAAAAAGUUUAAAAAAAAUAUAUAGGAGCAGCUUCUAACCCACCUGACCUAUACUAUUCUCAAGCUGUCGUAGUGUGUCUUUUUGUACAUUUGGAGAUGUUUCUGUGCUACAGAGUGGUACAGAAGCACAUGGACUCUUCAAGAUGACCCUUGUGAGAAAUACUACAAAGUUCUCAUAGUUGACCCUUUCCUGCUGGUUCCUCCUAUCAAGGUGGGUUUCUGUUCUCAUCAGUGUCAAAGGUAAAACCUUAAAAUGGUCUCUGUAAAGAUCCCAUAUUAGAUCAGAUUGGUCUUUUCAACACUUGGGGCAGAGCUUAUGAUUUUUCAUCUGAGGCUGAUUGAUUAUUAGAUAUAAAAACUUAAAUUCUUUACUUAAAAAACUUUAAUUUAAGUUUAUACCUUGCAAAAUGUGUACAUUUUUAAGAUUAUUUCUGACAUUUUCUAACAAAUCCCUGCUUUGCUUUAAUUCAGUGUUGGUUGCUUGUUGGGGAUGGACAGAUAGGAGCAUGCUGGAAAGUUUUACAAUCACAAUGUAAAUCAUAUAUCAUAUUUUUUAUUUUUUAGGCUGUUGUUUUUACACUUGCAACCUGUAUCACUGAAUUUUUGAAGCCCUUUGGUCAGGGAUUUAGUGAGUUUCUUCGAGCCCUCCUGAAAGAUCUGCCAGUUACUCUGCAGAUCCCAGUUCUCAUCGCUACGACCCUCCUAACUUUGGUGUUUAUGUAUAGCCUUGUACAGGCAGUUUUCCAGCAUGGCAUCCUUGCAUUUUUUCGUCAGUCUCAAAGGGAGACACCUCAUCCAGUCAUUGAGCACCCACAGCCAAAUCCUAGGAUGAUUGAAGUUCACGUUUAUGAUGAAGUAAGUGCUAAAUCUGCACUGGAGUUUGUCCAAAGGAAUCAAGCCAAUGACACUAGAGCAGACAGGACCAUUAUUCAUUGGAGGCGAGAGCCACCCAUCGUGGAGACGCUGAGAUCUGCUCGCCAGAACGGACCCAAUGAGGUGGACUCUCACCAGCAGUCACAACAAGCAAAUGGCGUGGAAACAAGUGGAGACAAUGCUAACACAGUUCAGUAAAAAUCAUCAAAGACCAAAUCCAAUUUAGAGACGUCAAAAAGGCAGCCUUGAGUUCAAGAAGAUCAUGUGAGUUCUGUCAAAACAGCAUGCAAGCAAAUUCAAGUGUUUGUUCAGUAUAAAGUACUAUGUAACCCUCUUUUGUCGUGUACACAAAUUAAAUUAGGAUUUUGUAAUAUAUUUAAAAUAGAUACAUUUACCUGCAUUUUUUAAACGCAACAUAAAACUCUAAAGUGUGUUUAAGCUUUUUUAGAUUUAUAUAUUUUCUAUCAACAUAUUGCAACAAAAAAAUGUUUUUAAAAUCUUUCAUGAACUUCAUUAGACGAUGCUACCAACUUGACCACAAAACACUUUGGAACAGAGAGACGGAGAAGCGUUAUAUCAGUGUAUGCUGUUUACCAUUAUCCGUUAGCGCUUGCUGCAGAGCCAGUUUUUCAAAAGUUCAAAUAAUAAACACAAGAGGGAUUUUUUUAACAAGUUAACGAGUGAGGGGGUAUUUGGUUACCAGUUUUAAGAUAAUCAGGAAAAGUUUGGGUAAUAUUUUGUGGUUAAAUGUGCUGAAAUAGUAAUAUAUUGAUGCUAAUUGGUGCUUUGCACACCUGAAACUUUUAAGUAAUGUUUUAUUAAAAAUUGUAAAACAUUUUUCAACAAAUCAAAACUAUUGAUUUUUUAUUUAAAGUUGAAUUUAAAUGAUUUUUUUUUUAUAUUAAUCGUGACUCUGAUGUUUAAAUUACUUUCUAUCAGGUAUUAAU